UGACGUUGGAUUACCAGUGAGCGGCGGACGGGCUGAGUAACACGUGGGCAACCUGCCCUGAAGUGGGGGAUAACAUCUGGAAACAGGUGCUAAUACCGCAUAACAACGAAAACCACAUGGUUUUCGUUUCAAAGAUGGUUUCGGCUAUCGCUUCAGGAUGGGCCCGCGGUGCAUUAGCUAGUUGGUAAGGUAACGGCUUACCAAGGCAAUGAUGCAUAGCCGAGUUGAGAGACUGAUCGGCCACAAUGGAACUGAGACACGGUCCAUACUCCUACGGGAGGCAGCAGUAGGGAAUCUUCCACAAUGGGCGUAAGCCUGAUGGAGCAACACCGCGUGAGUGAAGAAGGGUUUCGGCUCGUAAAGCUCUGUUGUUGGAGAAGAACGUGCGUGAGAGUAACUGUUCACGCAGUGACGGUAUCCAACCAGAAAGUCACGGCUAACUACGUGCCAGCAGCCGCGGUAAUACGUAGGUGGCAAGCGUUAUCCGGAUUUAUUGGGCGUAAAGCGAGCGCAGGCGGUUGCUUAGGUCUGAUGUGAAAGCCUUCGGCUUAACCGAAGAAGGGCAUCGGAAACCGGGCGACUUGAGUGCAGAAGAGGACAGUGGAACUCCAUGUGUAGCGGGUGGAAUGCGUAGAUAUAUGGAAGAACACCAGUGGCGAAAGGCGGCUGUCUGGUCUGCAACUGACGCUGAGGCUCGAAAGCAUGGGGUAGCGAACAGGAUUAGAUACCCUGGUAGUCCAUGCCCGUAAACGAUG
RNAcentral lists this ribosomal RNA (755 nucleotides) under uncultured bacterium. RNAcentral's name for it is "bacterial SSU rRNA". It matches the Rfam family "Bacterial small subunit ribosomal RNA", at positions 67 to 811 of the family's 1533-position model. The record is from RNAcentral.